Molecule: non-coding RNA, 45 nt
Filed under: Schistosoma haematobium
Lineage: Eukaryota; Metazoa; Platyhelminthes; Trematoda; Strigeidida; Schistosomatidae
Source: RNAcentral
AUCCAACAGACGAGUCCCAAAUGGGACGAAACGCGCGUCCCGGAU